UACGUAGGUGACCAGCGUUGUCCGGAUUUACUGGGCGUAAAGAGCGCGCAGGCGGUCGUUCAAGUCGAGUGUGAAAGCCCCCGGCUCAACUGGGGAGGGUCACUCGAUACUGAUCGACUUGAAGGCAGGAGAGGGAAGCGGAAUUCCCGGUGUAGUGGUGAAAUGCGUAGAUAUCUGGAGGAAUACCGGUGGCGAAGGCGGCAUCCUGGACCGGCAUUGACGCUGAGUGAGCGAAAGCCAGGGGAGCAAACGGG
RNAcentral lists this ribosomal RNA (254 nucleotides) under uncultured bacterium. RNAcentral describes it as "partial 16S ribosomal RNA". It matches the Rfam family "Bacterial small subunit ribosomal RNA", at positions 524 to 776 of the family's 1533-position model. The record is from RNAcentral.